UUGCUCUCUUGCCCCUACUUGGCUGCUUUCUUUCUUCUACCUUCCACCCUCAGGGGACAACAAGAAAAUCCUCCUUCUCUGGGACAAAAGGUGCUUAACGAACAAAACAAAACUGGAAAGGAAACGCUGUGUGAGCUGCUACUAUGGGCAAAUGCACAGCAGCGCGUGCAGAGGGGUACAGAGAAGUGUGAUGAAGUUGCCAUCGCUGAGUCACUUACAGUCCUGCUAAUGGAGAAAACUUGGAUAAUUCAGGAAUUACAGAUGAGAAUUUCAGCAUCUUGUGAUUUUGAUGUGUCCCAUUCCUGGAUAUCCUUGAGGUCCUAUUACUUCUGAAGAAAUAGAUGGAAACAGCAGGGGGAGUGAAGGCGUAGCCUGAUUUCUAUAUUUCCUUUGAAGCAUGAAACAUACAUCACACAGGAGAUUUUAAGAAGAAAUAAAUGUAGAAUUAACUGUCAUG
RNAcentral lists this long non-coding RNA (457 nucleotides) under Equus caballus (horse). RNAcentral describes it as "lncRNA (ENSECAG00000054384.1)". The record is from RNAcentral. Lineage: Eukaryota; Metazoa; Chordata; Mammalia; Perissodactyla; Equidae.